UACGUAGGGGGCAAGCGUUGUCCGGAUUUAUUGGGCGUAAAGAGCGUGUAGGCGGCCUGGAAGGUCAGCUGUGAAAACUCGAGGCUCAACCUCGAGACGUCGGUUGAAACCACCUGGCUAGAGUCCGGAAGAGGAGAAUGGAAUUCCCGGUGUAGCGGUGAAAUGCGCAGAUAUCGGGAAGAACACCCGUGGCGAAGGCGGUUCUCUGGGACGGUACUGACGCUGAGACGCGAAAGCGUGGUGAGCGAACAGG
RNAcentral lists this ribosomal RNA (253 nucleotides) under uncultured bacterium. RNAcentral describes it as "partial 16S ribosomal RNA". It matches the Rfam family "Bacterial small subunit ribosomal RNA", at positions 524 to 776 of the family's 1533-position model. The record is from RNAcentral.